GAUGAAGAACGCAUCGAAAUGCGAUAAGUAAUGCGAAUUGCAGAAUUUCCGUGAGUCAUCGAAUCUUUGAACGCACAUUGCGCCCACUGGUAUUCCGGUGGGCAUGCCUGUUCGAGCGUCAUUAUCCUCCCUCAAACCCCGGGUUUGGUGUUGGACCGAAGUUGUGUGAACAACUGGUCUAAAAGACAAUGACGGCGUCCGUGGGACCCUCGGUGCAACGAGCUUUUAGGAGCACGCGUCGAGUUUCAAGGACCUUCCGGGCCGGUCUCCUUUACCAUUUUACAAGGUUGACCUCGGAUCAGGUAGGAAUACCCGCUGAACUUAAGCAUAUCAAUAAGCGGAGGA
Molecule: unclassified non-coding RNA, 345 nt
Filed under: soil metagenome
Description: partial contains 5.8S ribosomal RNA, internal transcribed spacer 2, and large subunit ribosomal RNA
Rfam family: 5.8S ribosomal RNA (bases 1-121)
Source: RNAcentral